This 301-nucleotide ribosomal RNA is filed under the name uncultured bacterium. RNAcentral's name for it is "partial 16S ribosomal RNA". It matches the Rfam family "Bacterial small subunit ribosomal RNA", at positions 509 to 809 of the family's 1533-position model. The record is from RNAcentral.
CAGCCGCCACGGUAAUACGUAGGUGGCAAGCGUUGUCCGGAAUUAUUGGGCGUAAAGGGCUCGCAGGCGGUUUCUUAAGUCUGAUGUGAAAGCCCCCGGCUCAACCGGGGAGGGUCAUUGGAAACUGGGAAACUUGAGUGCAGAAGAGGAGAGUGGAAUUCCACGUGUAGCGGUGAAAUGCGUAGAGAUGUGGAGGAACACCAGUGGCGAAGGCGACUCUCUGGUCUGUAACUGACGCUGAGGAGCGAAAGCGUGGGGAGCGAACAGGAUUAGAGACCCCUGUAGUCCCUGUCUCUUAUAA